RNAcentral lists this ribosomal RNA (260 nucleotides) under Klebsiella pneumoniae. RNAcentral describes it as "partial 16S ribosomal RNA". It matches the Rfam family "Bacterial small subunit ribosomal RNA", at positions 1284 to 1533 of the family's 1533-position model. The record is from RNAcentral. Lineage: Bacteria; Pseudomonadati; Pseudomonadota; Gammaproteobacteria; Enterobacterales; Enterobacteriaceae.
UGUCGUAGUCCGGAUUGGAGUCUGCAACUCGACUCCAUGAAGUCGGAAUCGCUAGUAAUCGUAGAUCAGAAUGCUACGGUGAAUACGUUCCCGGGCCUUGUACACACCGCCCGUCACACCAUGGGAGUGGGUUGCAAAAGAAGUAGGUAGCUUAACCUUCGGGAGGGCGCUUACCACUUUGUGAUUCAUGACUGGGGUGAAGUCGUAACAAGGUAACCGUAGGGGAACCUGCGGUUGGAUCACCUCCUUACCUUAAAGAA